CCCGCUGAGUUUAAGCAUAUCAAUAAGCG
RNAcentral lists this ribosomal RNA (29 nucleotides) under Roldana mexicana. Its description in RNAcentral is "partial 26S ribosomal RNA". The record is from RNAcentral. Lineage: Eukaryota; Viridiplantae; Streptophyta; Magnoliopsida; Asterales; Asteraceae. RNAcentral also lists the same sequence under 1 other name.